CCUCAACUCACCGGCCAGAAAGAGCCAAAUAUCAAGCCUCUACACAUCCCUAACCACACAUCACACUCAAAUAGCACUCCCAUACAUCGCAGCAUGGGAGAGUGACUUGGGACCCCCUGAGGACACCACUCACUGGGCAGACAUCUGGACUGCCAUCAAAUCCAUCUCCACCUGUGUAACCCAUAAGGAACAGGCCUACAAAAUGCUUUUCAGAUGGUACCUCACCCCCUUCCGCCUAAAGGCAAUGCAACAACUUCCCACCAACUUAUGUUGGAAACUGUGCGGCGAGGCAGGCACGUUUCUCCACUGCUGGUGGACCUGCCCUAAAGUCGCCCCCAUAUGGACAACGCUAACCACACUCUUAACCAGAUUACUUAACAAACCAGUACCUUUAGACCCUUGGGCCUUUCUCCUCUCCAAACCCAUCGACAUCUUCACUCGUAACGAAAACAAACUCAUUGCCAGAGUAGCCCUGGCCACACGAAGGGCAAUAGCGGAAACAUGGUCCACACCACGCAUCCCAACCCAACUGCAGAUACACACUAAAAUAACUGACAGCGUAAACAUGGAUAAGCUGACUGCACAAAUACAUGACACCCCCAACUCAUUCCACAAAGUGUGGGACCCAUGGCUGGAGGGGAACAACACCCUCCCAUGGUGACCCGCGGCACUCACACCGACCGACACCACCCAAGCACAACUACAACAUGAUGCAAAUCUGAGGCUCGCCCCCACCUAGCGCCCUUAACCUACCCCACCCCACCAAGGGCGUUGGGGGGUACCCAGGAGGGCAGCACCAUCCUGCC
Molecule: non-coding RNA, 806 nt
Organism: Pelobates cultripes (western spadefoot toad)
Lineage: Eukaryota; Metazoa; Chordata; Amphibia; Anura; Pelobatidae
Source: the annotation of a GenBank genome assembly